GAUGAACGCUGGCGGCGUGCCUAAUACAUGCAAGUCGAGCGAACGGACGAGAAGCUUGCUUCUCUGAUGUUAGCGGCGGACGGGUGAGUAACACGUGGAUAACCUACCUAUAAGACUGGGAUAACUUCGGGAAACCGGAGCUAAUACCGGAUAAUAUUUUGAACCGCAUGGUUCAAAAGUGAAAGACGGUCUUGCUGUCACUUAUAGAUGGAUCCGCGCUGCAUUAGCUAGUUAGUAAGGUAACGGCUUACCAAGGCAACGAUGCAUAGCCGACCUGAGAGGGUGAUCGGCCACACUGGAACUGAGACACGGUCCAGACUCCUACGGGAGGCAGCAGUAGGGAAUCUUCCGCAAUGGGCGAAAGCCUGACGGAGCAACGCCGCGUGAGUGAUGAAGGUCUUCGGAUCGUAAAACUCUGUUAUUAGGGAAGAACAUAUGUGUAAGUAACUGUGCACAUCUUGACGGUACCUAAUCAGAAAGCCACGGCUAACUACGUG
Molecule: ribosomal RNA, 497 nt
Filed under: uncultured bacterium
Lineage: Bacteria
Description: partial 16S ribosomal RNA
Rfam family: Bacterial small subunit ribosomal RNA
Source: RNAcentral